RNAcentral lists this ribosomal RNA (251 nucleotides) under uncultured prokaryote. RNAcentral describes it as "partial 16S ribosomal RNA". It matches the Rfam family "Bacterial small subunit ribosomal RNA", at positions 525 to 775 of the family's 1533-position model. The record is from RNAcentral.
ACGUAGGGGGCAAGCGUUGUCCGGAAUUACUGGGCGUAAAGAGUACGUAGGCGGUUUGUUAAGUUAGGUGUGAAAGUUUGCAGCUCAACUGUAAAAGUGCCUUUAAAACUGGCAGACUUGAGUCUCGGAGAGGUAAGCGGAAUUCCUAGUGUAGCGGUGAAAUGCGUAGAGAUUAGGAAGAACACCGAUGGCGAAGGCAGCUUACUGGACUAGUACUGACGCUCAGGUACGAAAGCGUGGGGAGCAAACAG